RNAcentral lists this ribosomal RNA (497 nucleotides) under uncultured bacterium. Its description in RNAcentral is "partial 16S ribosomal RNA". It matches the Rfam family "Bacterial small subunit ribosomal RNA", at positions 28 to 507 of the family's 1533-position model. The record is from RNAcentral.
GAUGAACGCUGGCGGCGUGCCUAAUACAUGCAAGUCGAGCGAACAGACGAGGAGCUUGCUCCUCUGACGUUAGCGGCGGACGGGUGAGUAACACGUGGAUAACCUACCUAUAAGACUGGGAUAACUUCGGGAAACCGGAGCUAAUACCGGAUAAUAUAUUGAACCGCAUGGUUCGAUAGUGAAAGACGGUUUUGCUGUCACUUAUAGAUGGAUCCGCGCCGCAUUAGCUAGUUGGUAAGGUAACGGCUUACCAAGGCAACGAUGCGUAGCCGACCUGAGAGGGUGAUCGGCCACACUGGAACUGAGACACGGUCCAGACUCCUACGGGAGGCAGCAGUAGGGAAUCUUCCGCAAUGGGCGAAAGCCUGACGGAGCAACGCCGCGUGAGUGAUGAAGGUCUUCGGAUCGUAAAACUCUGUUAUUAGGGAAGAACAAAUGUGUAAGUAACUAUGCACGUCUUGACGGUACCUAAUCAGAAAGCCACGGCUAACUACGUG